Molecule: long non-coding RNA, 1396 nt
Organism: Rhincodon typus (whale shark)
Lineage: Eukaryota; Metazoa; Chordata; Chondrichthyes; Orectolobiformes; Rhincodontidae
Exons: 3
Source: RefSeq, a predicted model, not a curated record
AAUAUUAAACAAAAGUGUGCUGAGAUCAGGGAUGAAUUAACAGGAAUGGUAGGAGUAGUGGGAGACAAAGUAACUUUUAACCCCUACACGAUUGUGAUUUAAAUGUAAUGAGUAGGCAAUAUUACAAUAAUUUAAAACCAAGCCUGAGGUAAAGUAGAAGAAGGAGCUCCACUGAAAUUUUAAGUACUAUAGAAGCAUUAUUUUAGGACAGCUGCCUUAAAUUCUUGUAUGUCCUUUUGAAGCCUGCCACAACCCUCCACAAAAAGGCUAGCGGAAAAGGCAAACACGCUGGAAGGUGCAAUCUAAUGCGAAGACGUGUGAAGUGAUACAUUUUUGAAAGAACGGAGGGGCUUAAUAAAGGCUCACAGUUUAAAAGGAGGGAUGUGAAAAAAAAGACGUGGUGCAAAGAAAAUCUGAAAAAAAAACGUGCGCAAUAAAAGGACUUCAGUGAUGAAGAAACACGGGAGAAGCUGGGAUGCUUACCUCAAGGAAAAGGCUGAAAGGAAAUUUGAAAGGAAUGCUCAGAAGCUGAGGGCUUCAGAUAGAGACGGGGAGGAACUAUUUUCAUCAGAUACAAGAACCAGAGGAGACGGAUUUUAAAGCCAAGCAAGCUACUGCCUAUCAUCUGAAAAGUCAACUAAUCUGAAUUCCAAUAAAUACAUUGUAGAAACUGGAAGAUUUGGGCCAGUCAGAAGACAACUUGACUGGUGAACUUAAAAAGGGUAAAAACCAAGCAAGUUUAAAAGCGCUCAACAGGUAAUUCUUUAUGGGCUGUGACCUGCAGGAAGAACUGACUUGAGCUGAGAGCAAAGACUUGAGUUGCAUGUACACGACUUAUCUUGAUGGUACACUGAAAACAUUAUACAGGUUAAAAACCACAACCAAUCUUCAAGACCCAAUCACCAUCUUGACUAACUGUCCUACAAUAGAGGGAAUGGAUGGGUGUCUAUCUUUAAAUACUUACUGGAAAAUAACAGCUACUGCCAUAAAAAGAUGGCAUGUCCUCCGACUCUCCGGAAUUAGACAGGAAAUGCUAUGCUGUGCACGAGACAGCUGGGGUUGGAAGAACUGGUUACUAGCACAUAUUGGGAAGGUUUGCAUGUGCUGAUUGCAGCUAACUGGAAAAACUGACCCUUGUACUACUAAAGUUAAUCAGAGCAGGAGUAGGCCUUCAAGUCUGCCUUUCAAUGAAACAUAUCAGCCAUGAUCUCAACACCAAAUUUCCCACAUUAUCCCUUGAUAUUUUUACUAUCCAGAAAUCAUUAGUCUCCACAUUGAAAAUUCUCAAUGGUGAAAUCUCCUAGGCCAAUGGGGUAGAAAAUUCCAAACAUUAACCAUCAAAUGAAAGAAUUUACAAGAUGAUCAGAGGAUUAGAUAGGGUGGACAGUGGGAGCCU